RNAcentral lists this ribosomal RNA (405 nucleotides) under uncultured bacterium. RNAcentral describes it as "partial 16S ribosomal RNA". It matches the Rfam family "Bacterial small subunit ribosomal RNA", at positions 355 to 775 of the family's 1533-position model. The record is from RNAcentral.
UGGGGAAUAUUGGGCAAUGGGCGAAAGCCUGACCCAGCAACGCCGCGUGAGGGAAGAAGGUUUUCGGAUUGUAAACCUCUGUCCUUGGGGACGAAGAAAGUGACGGUACCCAAGGAGGAAGCCCCGGCUAACUACGUGCCAGCAGCCGCGGUAAUACGUAGGGGGCAAGCGUUGUCCGGAAUUACUGGGCGUAAAGGGUGCGUAGGCGGUUUUUUAAGUCAGAUGUGAAAUCCCCGGGCUUAACUCGGGUGUUGCAUUUGAAACUGGGGAACUAGGGGGAGGGGGAGGAAGGGGGAAUCCCAGGGGUGGGGGUGAAAUGGGUAAUUAUUGGAGGAAACACAGGGGGGGAGGGGGGCUUCUGGGAUGGAGGCGGCGGCUGGGCAAGAAAGGGGUGGGAGCAAACAG